UACGGGGGGUGCGAGCGUUAAUCGGAAUUACUGGGCGUAAAGGGCACGCAGGCGGACUUUUAAGUCAGGUGUGAAAUCCCCGGGCUUAACCUGGGAAUUGCAUUUGAUACUGGGAAGCUUGAGUAGUGUAGGGAGGGGUAGAAUUCCACGUGUAGCGGUGAAAUGCGUAGAGAUGUGGAGGAAUACCGAAGGCGAAGGCAGCCCCCUGGAAAUGUACUGACGCUCAGGUGCGAAAGCGUGGGGAGCAAACAGG
Molecule: ribosomal RNA, 253 nt
Filed under: uncultured bacterium
Lineage: Bacteria
Description: partial 16S ribosomal RNA
Rfam family: Bacterial small subunit ribosomal RNA
Source: RNAcentral